UACGGAGGGGGCUAGCGUUGUUCGGAAUUACUGGGCGUAAAGCGUACGUAGGCGGCUUUGUAAGUUAGAGGUGAAAGCCCGGGGCUCAACUCCGGAAUUGCCUUUAAGACUGCAUCGCUUGAAUCAUGGAGAGGUGAGUGGAAUUCCGAGUGUAGAGGUGAAAUUCGUAGAUAUUCGGAAGAACACCAGUGGCGAAGGCGACUCACUGGACAUGUAUUGACGCUGAGGUACGAAAGCGUGGGGAGCAAAUAGG
This 253-nucleotide ribosomal RNA is filed under the name uncultured bacterium. RNAcentral describes it as "partial 16S ribosomal RNA". It matches the Rfam family "Bacterial small subunit ribosomal RNA", at positions 524 to 776 of the family's 1533-position model. The record is from RNAcentral.